GGGCGCGUAGUUCAGUGGUUAGAACGCUACUCUUAUAAAGUAGAAGUCGAAGGUUCGAUCCCUUCCGCGCCCN
Candidatus Wildermuthbacteria bacterium is the source of this 73-nucleotide non-coding RNA. The record is from Rfam. Lineage: Bacteria; Candidatus Wildermuthiibacteriota.